Molecule: ribosomal RNA, 1961 nt
Filed under: human gut metagenome
Description: bacterial LSU rRNA
Rfam family: Bacterial large subunit ribosomal RNA
Source: RNAcentral
UUAAGCGACUAAGCGUACACGGUGGAUGCCCUGGCAGUCAGAGGCGAUGAAGGACGUGCUAAUCUGCGAAAAGCGUCGGUAAGGUGAUAUGAACCGUUAUAACCGGCGAUGUCCGAAUGGGGAAACCCAGUGCAAUUCGUUGCACUAUCGUUAACUGAAUACAUAGGUUAACGAGGCGAACCGGGGGAACUGAAACAUCUAAGUACCCCGAGGAAAAGAAAUCAACCGAGAUUCCCCCAGUAGCGGCGAGCGAACGGGGAGCAGCCCAGAGCCUGAAUCAGUGUGUGUGUUAGUGGAAGCGUCUGGAAAGGCGCGCGAUACAGGGUGACAGCCCCGUACACAAAAAUGCACAUGCUGUGAGCUCGAUGAGUAGGGCGGGACACGUGGUAUCCUGUCUGAAUAUGGGGGGACCAUCCUCCAAGGCUAAAUACUCCUGACUGACCGAUAGUGAACCAGUACCGUGAGGGAAAGGCGAAAAGAACCCCGGCGAGGGGAGUGAAAAAGAACCUGAAACCGUGUACGUACAAGCAGUGGGAGCACCUUCGGGUGUGACUGCGUACCUUUUGUAUAAUGGGUCAGCGACUUAUAUUCUGUAGCAAGGUUAACCGAAUAGGGGAGCCGAAGGGAAACCGAGUCUUAACUGGGCGUUAAGUUGCAGGGUAUAGACCCGAAACCCGGUGAUCUAGCCAUGGGCAGGUUGAAGGUUGGGUAACACUAACUGGAGGACCGAACCGACUAAUGUUGAAAAAUUAGCGGAUGACUUGUGGCUGGGGGUGAAAGGCCAAUCAAACCGGGAGAUAGCUGGUUCUCCCCGAAAGCUAUUUAGGUAGCGCCUCGUGAAUUCAUCUCCGGGGGUAGAGCACUGUUUCGGCAAGGGGGUCAUCCCGACUUACCAACCCGAUGCAAACUGCGAAUACCGGAGAAUGUUAUCACGGGAGACACACGGCGGGUGCUAACGUCCGUCGUGAAGAGGGAAACAACCCAGACCGCCAGCUAAGGUCCCAAAGUCAUGGUUAAGUGGGAAACGAUGUGGGAAGGCCCAGACAGCCAGGAUGUUGGCUUAGAAGCAGCCAUCAUUUAAAGAAAGCGUAAUAGCUCACUGGUCGAGUCGGCCUGCGCGGAAGAUGUAACGGGGCUAAACCAUGCACCGAAGCUGCGGCAGCGACACUAUGUGUUGUUGGGUAGGGGAGCGUUCUGUAAGCCUGCGAAGGUGUGCUGUGAGGCAUGCUGGAGGUAUCAGAAGUGCGAAUGCUGACAUAAGUAACGAUAAAGCGGGUGAAAAGCCCGCUCGCCGGAAGACCAAGGGUUCCUGUCCAACGUUAAUCGGGGCAGGGUGAGUCGACCCCUAAGGCGAGGCCGAAAGGCGUAGUCGAUGGGAAACAGGUUAAUAUUCCUGUACUUGGUGUUACUGCGAAGGGGGGACGGAGAAGGCUAUGUUAGCCGGGCGACGGUUGUCCCGGUUUAAGCAUGUAGGCUGGUUGUCCAGGCAAAUCCGGAUAAUCAAGGCUGAGGUGUGAUGACGAGGCACUACGGUGCUGAAGUAACAAAUGCCCUGCUUCCAGGAAAAGCCUCUAAGCAUCAGGUAACAUCAAAUCGUACCCCAAACCGACACAGGUGGUCAGGUAGAGAAUACCAAGGCGCUUGAGAGAACUCGGGUGAAGGAACUAGGCAAAAUGGUGCCGUAACUUCGGGAGAAGGCACGCUGGUGUGUAGGUGAAGUCCCUGCGGAUGGAGCUGAGACCAGUCGAAGAUACCAGCUGGCUGCAACUGUUUAUUAAAAACACAGCACUGUGCAAACACGAAAGUGGACGUAUACGGUGUGACGCCUGCCCGGUGCCGGAAGGUUAAUUGAUGGGGUUAUCCGUAAGGAGAAGCUCUUGAUCGAAGCCCCGGUAAACGGCGGCCGUAACUAUAACGGUCCUAAGGUAGCGAAAUUCCUUGUCGGGUAAGUUCCGACCUGC